This 3500-nucleotide long non-coding RNA is filed under the name Homo sapiens (human). Its description in RNAcentral is "HSALNT0301699". The record is from RNAcentral. Lineage: Eukaryota; Metazoa; Chordata; Mammalia; Primates; Hominidae.
GCCCUGGAACUCUGGCCCAAGGCUCUCUGACUCCUUCCCAGAUCUUCUCGGCUUAGCAGCUGAAGACUGAGACUGCCCGAUUGCCUCGAAAGCCUACAGGACCAUCACAGACUCUCUGGGUAACUCACAGUGGAAGACUGUAAUCCCCCUGCCUUCUAUCAAGGUGAAAUGUUAACAAGUUUAAAUAUCCAGCGGUGCUCUUCCUUCCUUGGAUGAAACUUUCUAAGCUCUAUCACUUGUUUAUAGGUCUGGAGAAAUACAAUGAUCCUGAAGAAAACCUGAGCUUAUGUGAAGCAACUUUGUUUUCCUUUGACAAACUCCCAUUUCCAACACCAGAAUCCAACUGCAAGGAAAUGAAGCAUAAACAGCUGAAUUUAGAAAUCUUCUAAUUCUGAUUUUUUUAUUUUUGUUUUUGAGACAAAGUCUUGUCCUGUGGCCCAGGCUGGAGUGCAAUAGUGUGAUUAUAGCUCACUGCAGCCUCGAACUCCUGGUCUCAAGUGAUCCUCCCACCUCAGCCUCCCAAGUAGCUGGGACUACAGGCAAGAGUCACCAUGCCUAGCUACUUUUUUUUAUUUUUGUAAAGAUGGAAUCUUGCUAUGUUGCCCAGGCUGGUCUCCAACUCCUGGCCUAAACAAUCCUCCCACCUUAGCUUCCCAAAGUGCUGGAAUUAUAGACAUAAGCCACCAUUCCCAGCCUAAUUCAUAUUUUUAAGCAGGAAGCAUAGUCUACCUUAUAACUCCUAUGCUCUUCUUCCAAAACCUUUACCCUGUAGUUUAUGAACUGCGAUGAAGGACCAAGUAUAUCUCCAUUCUAACAGCACAUUAUAAUGUCCACACAAUAUAUAAAUAAAAGAAAAGCAGGCCGGUCACGGUGGCUCACACCUGUAAUUCCAGCACUUUCAGAAGCCAAAGUGGGUGGAUCACUUGAGGCCAGGAGUUGAAGACCAGCCUGGCCAAAAUGGUGAAACCCCGUCUCUACUAAAAAUAUAAAAAUUAGCCAAGUGAUGGUGGCACAUGCCUGUAAUUCCAGCUACUUGGGAGGCUGAGGCAGGAGAAUCACUUGAACCUGGGAGGCAGAGGUUGCAGUGAGCCAAGAUCAUGCCACUGCACUCCAGCCUGGACAACAGAGCGAGACUCCAUCUCAAAAAAAAUAAAAAGAAAAAAAGAAAGGCAAUGUGGUACCAUGCCUUAGGAUCGUACAUACGUCACCCAACUCGCUUACCUACUGUAAUGGACGUUUGUUGCUCUUGCUUGUACGGCACUCUUUUUCUAGAUCUUCCUUUGGACAACCGCCUCCUCCCUGCCUUCAUUCCUGUGGUUUGGUGAAGCUGACACUUCUCCCAGCUAUAGGGAGGGGCGUGAGCCACAGGCCAAAGUCAAUCAGUGCAUUCCAUCCACCAGCCCAGAGACUGAAUCAGCAAAGGUCCCAGAGCUCCACUUGGGCCAAUGGCAGUCAGGCCAAGGACUUUGUGGAACUGUUGCUCAGAGGACAGGUACUCACCUUGCACUGAAACUGGAGUGAUGGGAGUAUGAACCUGGGGCUACUAACAGCCAUCUUGCCCCAGAAGGAAGUACUUCCCUAAGUUUAAUGCCUACCCAGAGGAGGGCAGAGCAGAUAGACAAGAGACAGGGUUCUGGGGUCAACUGUGUCUGAAGUCAGAGACAUGAAAUAAAUUUCGUUUUUUGCUCAGCCCCUUGGAACACAGCAGUAGCUUUACACAAUGCUAUCUGCCCCUUGCAACAAAGCAGUAAUUUCACUACUUGAGGGAUGGAAAAGAUGUACCAUAAAAGACACAGAGGCGAUAGACAAAAGGGAAGUAAGAUUCAGGUCUUGCACAGAAACUGAGCCUUGAUUUUCCGCAGAAUAUACUGUGACCAAGCCUCCUGCAGGGCUGCCUGUACGUUAAAGAAAUGGAAGCGUCUUGAAUCGUGUCCAUCGUCCCUCCUUUACACAAAGUAAUCACCUCCAGCUGGGCCAAGUUGAUUGAGGAAACGUUCAGUUUUCACAUGAUUUUGCUGUAGCACCAUAAUGAAUGUAUUUCUUUGAUGGAAGAAAGAAGCUUCAUGAAAUAAACUGCUUAAGGAUUUGAAGUUGGAGCUGAAAACAUGGGCUGCUUUGUUCUUAAUGACAACUGCUUUGCCAUCUAAAACAUUUCUCCUUUUUGAAGGAUCUGUCUUUUCUCUUCCAGCCACAACCCUCGAGCUACAAUAACAGGCUCAUGAUUUUUUUAGAUGCCAAGGUUAUGAAUACUCUUUUAUGAAUAUUUUCCUUUGAACUCAUUUCUCUUGAAGAAGAAAAAUAGCCCUACAUAUUGCAGGAUUGACAAUAACAGACAAAACGUACAAAUUGUUCUCUUAGGGGCAGUAAAAUGCUCCAAAAUGCACAUAGAAAAAUUCCAAAUGCAACCUGAUGUUUAUGGAGCACUGCCUUUGCAGCUAUAAUUUUUAGAAAGUAAUAUUUCUGACUGACAUGAAUUAUACAGAGCAUAUUUCAGAGACUAAUAUCAGGUUAAUGCCUUAAAAUGUCUCCGUUUAUGACAUCAUGGCUGCUUUUCCUAUAUCAGUGCAAACUCUUAGUGAGUAGAAUUUGAGGAUAUGUCUUUUCAAAGGAAGAAAACCUUCACUGAAUUAAGCUGCUUAUGGUUUUAUUUUUUCUUUUAUCCCAUUUCAACAUAUCCACCAACCUCCUCUAAAAAUAAUUCAACUAAUGUGAACUCAACAGAUUAUAGUAGAUCUCUUAUUAAUUUCAUUUUGCCUCCAAAGGAGCUUAUCAUUUAGGCUUAUAAUUAUGUAUGCAGUACUGUCGACUAAUGUUUAGGUUCCUCAUUAAAACUUCAUUUCAUUCUGUUUUAAUAUCAUCAGUCUGUUAGACCAUUUAUUUUCUCAUGUUAAAAAAUAUGUGUUUUCCCUGAACUCUUUCCAUAUGUUUUCUCUCAUCCAAAAAAUCCAGAAAACUCAGCUCCCUUUAAUCCUGCUUUGUGGCUUAGAUACUUUAGCCUGGAACCACUCGUGUUGAUUUGUAUAUACCCACACUUACGCAAAAAUAGCCUUCACUACGGCAGAGUAAUCAUUCUGCAUAGAAAUUAUGUGUCUCUGAAGCCUAUGUUGUCAGGUGAAUCGUGGCAGCAAUGACCUAAGAAUGCAUCCCCAGUUUGAAAUGACCUAUAAAAAUUUCAAGAUACAACUAUUGCUUUGCAUUUGGCAUCGGGAAUAUUCUGUAUAGUUCUUUUCAUGUAAAUGGGCAAUAUUCUAGAAUGGUUCCCAAGUAUAAGCUUUAGAGCUAGACUUCUUGGGUACAACUCCCACUAUUACCACUUACUAGUUAUGUAAUAUUGGAAAAUACACUUAACUACUCUGAGCAUCAUAAAGUAAGCUUACUAACACCUACCUCACACAAUUGUUGUGGGGAUUAAGUUAGUAAAACAUAUAAAGCAUAUGUGACUCUGUCUGGCACAGAGUUAGCACUCAGUCUAAGUGUUAGCUCUUAAUAUCAUUAAUUCA